Molecule: ribosomal RNA, 531 nt
Filed under: Kaistella treverensis
Lineage: Bacteria; Pseudomonadati; Bacteroidota; Flavobacteriia; Flavobacteriales; Weeksellaceae
Description: bacterial SSU rRNA
Rfam family: Bacterial small subunit ribosomal RNA
Source: RNAcentral
AUGCAAGCCGAGCGGUAGAAGUCCUUCGGGACUUUGAGAGCGGCGUACGGGUGCGUAACACGUGUGCAACCUACCUUUAUCAGGGGAAUAGCCUUUCGAAAGGAAGAUUAAUACCCCAUAAUAUAUUGAAUGGCAUCAUUUGAUAUUGAAAACUCCGGUGGAUAGAGAUGGGCACGCGCAAGAUUAGAUAGUUGGUGAGGUAACGGCUCACCAAGUCAAUGAUCUUUAGGGGUCCUGAGAGGGAGAUCCCCCACACUGGUACUGAGACACGGACCAGACUCCUACGGGAGGCAGCAGUGAGGAAUAUUGGACAAUGGGUGAGAGCCUGAUCCAGCCAUCCCGCGUGAAGGAUGACGGUCCUAUGGAUUGUAAACUUCUUUUGUAUAGGAAUAAACCUACUCUCGUGAGAGUAGCUGAAGGUACUAUACGAAUAAGCACCGGCUAACUCCGUGCCAGCAGCCGCGGUAAUACGGAGGGUGCAAGCGUUAUCCGGAUUUAUUGGGUUUAAAGGGUCCGUAGGCGGACCGAUAA